This 226-nucleotide long non-coding RNA is filed under the name Elaeis guineensis (African oil palm). Its description in RNAcentral is "long non-coding RNA (EGUI_LNC036862)". The record is from RNAcentral. Lineage: Eukaryota; Viridiplantae; Streptophyta; Magnoliopsida; Arecales; Arecaceae.
CAUAAGAAUCCAAAUGGCUAAGGAUCAAGUGUAUAUACAGUCGAACUACAGCAAUCCUAUUUGAAUAGCCAAGUUAACAUAGGUCAAAGAACCAAUCACACCAUUAUAGCAUCGAAAAAGUCACUGAUGAGUGAGUAAACAUUCAAGAAACUUCUCAUGUUGAUCAUGCUAGGUAUCCUUGUUCUCUAACAACCAUCUGCACUCUCGCUCUAAUAUUCUCACACUA